Molecule: regulatory RNA element, 83 nt
Rfam family: Cyanobacterial ribosomal protein S1 leader
About the family: cyano-S1 is a ncRNA recognized in the 5-prime region of genes encoding 30S ribosomal protein S1, it has been proposed as an cis regulation element.
Source: Rfam
CUCUGUAAAGUGAGGGAUUGCCUGAUUCAGGUCGGCGGGCCUGAAACAGUUUCCUUCGCUCUGCUCCCCGAGCAGACCGCCAA